AGUGAACGCUGGCGGUAGGCCUAACACAUGCAAGUCGAACGGCAGCACAGUAAGAGCUUGCUCUUACGGGUGGCGAGUGGCGGGCGGGUGAGGAAUACAUCGGAAUCUACUUUUUCGUGGGGGAUAACGUAGGGAAACUUACGCUAAUACCGCAUACGACCUACGGGUGAAAGCAGGGGAUCUUCGGACCUUGCGCGAUUGAAUGAGCCGAUGUCGGAUUAGUUAGUUGGCGGGGUAAAGGCCCACCAAGGCGACGAUCCGUAGCUGGUCUGAGAGGAUGAUCAGCCACACUGGAACUGAGACACGGUCCAGACUCCUACGGGAGGCAGCGGUGGGGAAUAUUGGACAAUGGGCGCAAGCCUAAUCCAGCCAUACCGCGUGAGUGAAGAAGGCGUUCGGGUGGUAAAGCCCUGUUGUUGGGAAAGAAAAGCAGCAGGUUAAUACCCCGCUGUUCUGACGGUACCCAAAGAAUAAGCACCGGCUAACUUCGUG
RNAcentral lists this ribosomal RNA (492 nucleotides) under uncultured bacterium. Its description in RNAcentral is "partial 16S ribosomal RNA". It matches the Rfam family "Bacterial small subunit ribosomal RNA", at positions 29 to 507 of the family's 1533-position model. The record is from RNAcentral.